UUAAUAAGCGGAGGAAAAGAAACUAACAAGGAUUCCCUCAGUAACGGCGAGUGAAGCGGGAAGAGCUCAAAUUUGAAAUCUCCGAUGCCUGCAUCGGCGAGUUGUAGUUGCGAGAAGCACUUUCUAGGCGGAUUGGUGGUGCCUAAGUUGCUUGGAACAGCACGUCGCAGAGGGUGACAACCCCGUCUGUGGCGCCGGCGGCCGCCGACGAUGUGCUUUCGAAGAGUCGGGUUGUUUGGGAAUGCAGCCCAAAAGGGGUGGUAAACUCCAUCUAAAGCUAAAUACUGGCGUGAGACCGAUAGCGA
RNAcentral lists this ribosomal RNA (305 nucleotides) under Mycetophyllia danaana. RNAcentral describes it as "eukaryotic LSU rRNA". It matches the Rfam family "Eukaryotic large subunit ribosomal RNA", at positions 43 to 343 of the family's 3401-position model. Lineage: Eukaryota; Metazoa; Cnidaria; Anthozoa; Scleractinia; Faviidae. The record is from RNAcentral.